Molecule: ribosomal RNA, 1427 nt
Filed under: Vibrio sp. LYDJJ13
Lineage: Bacteria; Pseudomonadati; Pseudomonadota; Gammaproteobacteria; Vibrionales; Vibrionaceae
Description: bacterial SSU rRNA
Rfam family: Bacterial small subunit ribosomal RNA
Source: RNAcentral
UGCAAGUCGAGCGGAAACGAGUUAUCUGAACCUUCGGGGAACGAUAACGGCGUCGAGCGGCGGACGGGUGAGUAAUGCCUAGGAAAUUGCCCUGAUGUGGGGGAUAACCAUUGGAAACGAUGGCUAAUACCGCAUGAUGCCUACGGGCCAAAGAGGGGGACCUUCGGGCCUCUCGCGUCAGGAUAUGCCUAGGUGGGAUUAGCUAGUUGGUGAGGUAAGGGCUCACCAAGGCGACGAUCCCUAGCUGGUCUGAGAGGAUGAUCAGCCACACUGGAACUGAGACACGGUCCAGACUCCUACGGGAGGCAGCAGUGGGGAAUAUUGCACAAUGGGCGCAAGCCUGAUGCAGCCAUGCCGCGUGUGUGAAGAAGGCCUUCGGGUUGUAAAGCACUUUCAGUCGUGAGGAAGGUGGUGUAGUUAAUAGCUGCAUUAUUUGACGUUAGCGACAGAAGAAGCACCGGCUAACUCCGUGCCAGCAGCCGCGGUAAUACGGAGGGUGCGAGCGUUAAUCGGAAUUACUGGGCGUAAAGCGCAUGCAGGUGGUUUGUUAAGUCAGAUGUGAAAGCCCGGGGCUCAACCUCGGAAUAGCAUUUGAAACUGGCAGACUAGAGUACUGUAGAGGGGGGUAGAAUUUCAGGUGUAGCGGUGAAAUGCGUAGAGAUCUGAAGGAAUACCGGUGGCGAAGGCGGCCCCCUGGACAGAUACUGACACUCAGAUGCGAAAGCGUGGGGAGCAAACAGGAUUAGAUACCCUGGUAGUCCACGCCGUAAACGAUGUCUACUUGGAGGUUGUGGCCUUGAGCCGUGGCUUUCGGAGCUAACGCGUUAAGUAGACCGCCUGGGGAGUACGGUCGCAAGAUUAAAACUCAAAUGAAUUGACGGGGGCCCGCACAAGCGGUGGAGCAUGUGGUUUAAUUCGAUGCAACGCGAAGAACCUUACCUACUCUUGACAUCCAGAGAACUUUCCAGAGAUGGAUUGGUGCCUUCGGGAACUCUGAGACAGGUGCUGCAUGGCUGUCGUCAGCUCGUGUUGUGAAAUGUUGGGUUAAGUCCCGCAACGAGCGCAACCCUUAUCCUUGUUUGCCAGCGAGUAAUGUCGGGAACUCCAGGGAGACUGCCGGUGAUAAACCGGAGGAAGGUGGGGACGACGUCAAGUCAUCAUGGCCCUUACGAGUAGGGCUACACACGUGCUACAAUGGCGCAUACAGAGGGCGGCCAACUUGCGAAAGUGAGCGAAUCCCAAAAAGUGCGUCGUAGUCCGGAUUGGAGUCUGCAACUCGACUCCAUGAAGUCGGAAUCGCUAGUAAUCGUGGAUCAGAAUGCCACGGUGAAUACGUUCCCGGGCCUUGUACACACCGCCCGUCACACCAUGGGAGUGGGCUGCAAAAGAAGUAGGUAGUUUAACCUUCGGGGGGACGCUUACCACUU